GUCACUUUCAGGAAACAAAAAAAAACCUACUAUUGUAAUUUUGUUUUUAUUUCCUGAUAUAUUUUGAAUGAUUAUGUAAAUGAGCAUUGUGGAAUUUUAAAGAGUUUACCAAUAGUUUACGAUUUUAAUGAUUAUAUAGGUUAGCUUCUGUGAAAUGGUAUUUGAUUGCAUGAUCUACGUGGCCAAGACGUAGGCGAAACCUGGCUACCACACCACACACCUGUGAUGCUCGGGCUGUCGCUGGUGAUGCAGCAGUGUGCUGCACAGUUCUGGGAAACCAUGUGUGGCGAGUUUUGUGUGCCACCAGGUGUUUCAGUACUUGUGGAAGUGCCAGCUCCUAGCACCGCCGGUAGCAGUGCUUCUGUGAGCAAGUCCAGGCUGACUCGGCUUUAUACUUAGCGCCACAUUGUCGUAUACCAGGAUGUCGUCCAAUUCAGCUGUCGACUAAUAAGGAGUCAUGUGAGGAAGAGUAAGAUGCAGAAUGUGAGGAAACAGAUGACAGUGAGUUGGAAACUGAACAUCACCAUUUUUGUUUAGGUUUGUCUGCUUCUGGCUCUCCAACAAAAAUAUCCAAAAAGUCAAGUGACUCUCAGAGUGACUGUGCUCUUGGCUGAACACAUGACCUCAGCUACUAGUGUUUCAGAACUAUAGGAGUGACUGCUUAUAUUGACAGCUCUUCCACAGCAUUUGAUUGUUUUCCAAUUUUUCUUUCUGAUUCAAUUAUCAAAAAUGAAAGCUGAAAAAAAAUAGUUAUGCUGCUACUGUUGUCUAUAAACUGAGGCAUACAAAACAGUUGAAAACUAGUUGCCUACUUUCUAAAUGGAAACCAGUAAAAAUAAACUACCUACAUGAAAUUUAUAUAUUUUUUGCAAUUGUUUUUAAGAUGUGUCUAGUGAAGAAGGUGAUAUCAAGCAGUACUGGUGAACUAACGAUUUUUUGACUACCUACUCUUUUCCCAGCAUCUAGAAUGAGUAGAAAUAGUUUUUUUUUUUCAUUCUGUCAAAUUUUCACUUGAAUGAUAAUAAUACUUGCAUAAAAAGGGGACAACAAAAUGUGAUCCUUUGCACAAAAUUCUGCCAUUUUUUGAUUAUCUAGUUGAAAUGUUUUCCCAUUCAUUUGCGCCUUAUCAUAAUCUGACGAUAGAUAAAUGCAUGUGUGGCUUUUGUGUUCGUAUUCACUUUUGUGUUUACAUGAAAAACAAAAAGCAAAAAUAUGGAUUAAAACUUUAUAUAUUUAUGUUAUUAAUCUACCGGUUAUGUACAAAAAGUGGAAAUUUACUGCAGCAAACCAAAUGAGGAUAACAGCAUUUUGUCUUUGGAUAAAAGACUUUUGUCAGAUAAUUUUGACAAAGGUCAUGUGGUCUACGCGGACAGAUUUUAUAGUUCUCUAGCCCUCUUUGGUUUAUUGUGGAGCAAGAAAACUUUAGCUAUACAAACAUAUGUGCUCAACAGAAAACAGCUACCAAAAGAAAAAUUAAAUUAUAGAAUUCAGAGAGACUCAGGGGUUUUCAUGAAGCGUGAGUAUUUAUUAUGUUUGAAGGGGAAAGGUACGAGUGUUGUUCCAACGCUCUGUACUUUGCAUAAUCCUAAAACAUCCUAAGUUGAUUUCAGGUUGAAAAUAAGAAAGUGAAGAUAACAAAACCAUAUGUUAUUUUAGGUUGUAACAUUCAUAAGACAAGUAUCACUUGAAGUGAUUGGAUGAUUUUUUACUGUCCCUUCAACAGAAAAAAGAUGGAAUGGUGGUAAAAGCUAUUUUUUCACAUGCUUCUGAUGGCAGUUACAAAUGUGUUUAUCCUGUACAAGGAAACAAGAAAUGUGAAGAGAAGCAAGACUGCUAUCUCUCAACCUUUAUAAGUGAAGUUGGCGAAGCUUUUGCAACCAAAGGUAGCAUUACAUCUCAAAGUGUAAUUUGCUGAAAUUUUACAAUGAACAGACUGAAAGGGAGACAUUUCCGGGAAAAAUUUCCAGCCACAGAAAAUAAGAUGAAGCCAACACAAGUUUGUAAAGUAUGCUCUGAAAAAAAAAAUUAAAGCAUCUACUGGCAAAACAGGAAGAAAGAAAACAACUUGGUGGUGUUCCAAAUGUGAAGUGCCUCUAUGUUUGCCAGAAUGAUUAUCACAACAAAGCAAAUUAUGCAUAAUUUUUUUCAAGUUUAUGAAAAUAUAAAUAUUCCUGUUUGAAUAAUAAAAAAACUUCUGAG
Long non-coding RNA from Bacillus rossius redtenbacheri, 2199 nucleotides. RefSeq lists it as uncharacterized. NCBI's taxonomy places the organism in Eukaryota, Metazoa, Arthropoda, Insecta, Phasmatodea, Bacillidae. The transcript has 2 exons. The record is from RefSeq and is a predicted model, not a curated record.